AGUGAACGCUGGCGGUAGGCCUAACACAUGCAAGUCGAGCGGCAGCACAGUAAGAGCUUGCUCUUACGGGUGGCGAGUGGCGGACGGGUGAGGAAUACAUCGGAAUCUACUUUUUCGUGGGGGAUAACGUAGGGAAACUUACGCUAAUACCGCAUACGACCUACGGGUGAAAGCAGGGGAUCUUCGGACCUUGCGCGAUUGAAUGAGCCGAUGUCGGAUUAGCUAGUUGGCGGGGUAAAGGCCCACCAAGGCGACGAUCCGUAGCUGGUCUGAGAGGAUGAUCAGCCACACUGGAACUGAGACACGGUCCAGACUCCUACGGGAGGCAGCAGUGGGGAAUAUUGGACAAUGGGCGCAAGCCUGAUCCAGCCAUACCGCGUGGGUGAAGAAGGCCUUCGGAUUGUAAAGCCCUUUUGUUGGGAAAGAAAAGCAGCAGGUUAAUACCCCGCUGUUCUGACGGUACCCAAAGAAUAAGCACCGGCUAACUUCGUG
This 492-nucleotide ribosomal RNA is filed under the name uncultured bacterium. RNAcentral's name for it is "partial 16S ribosomal RNA". It matches the Rfam family "Bacterial small subunit ribosomal RNA", at positions 29 to 507 of the family's 1533-position model. The record is from RNAcentral.